ACGAAAUGCGAUACGUGGUGUGAAUUGCAGAAUCCCGUGAACCAUUGAGUCUUUGAACGCAAGUUGCGCUCAACGCCAUUUURUAGGCCGAGGGCAUGCCUGCKUGGGUGUCACGY
RNAcentral lists this ribosomal RNA (116 nucleotides) under Dendrophthora opuntioides. RNAcentral's name for it is "partial 5.8S ribosomal RNA". It matches the Rfam family "5.8S ribosomal RNA", at positions 48 to 154 of the family's 154-position model. Rfam says of the family: 5.8S ribosomal RNA (5.8S rRNA) is a component of the large subunit of the eukaryotic ribosome. It is transcribed by RNA polymerase I as part of the 45S precursor that also contains 18S and 28S rRNA. Lineage: Eukaryota; Viridiplantae; Streptophyta; Magnoliopsida; Santalales; Viscaceae. The record is from RNAcentral.